CCUACGGGAGGCAGCAGUGGGGAAUAUUGCACAAUGGGGGAAACCCUGAUGCAGCGACGCCGCGUGAGCGAUGAAGUAUUUCGGUAUGUAAAGCUCUAUCAGCAGGGAAGAAAAUGACGGUACCUGACUAAGAAGCCCCGGCUAACUACGUGCCAGCAGCCGCGGUAAUACGUAGGGGGCAAGCGUUAUCCGGAUUUACUGGGUGUAAAGGGAGCGUAGACGGCGGUGCAAGCCAGAUGUGAAAGCCCGGGGCUCAACCCCGGGACUGCAUUUGGAACUGUGCUGCUAGAGUGUCGGAGAGGCAGGCGGAAUUCCUAGUGUAGCGGUGAAAUGCAUAGAUAUCGCGCAGAACUCCGAUUGCGAAGGCAGCGUACCGGCGCCAGACUGACGCUGAGGCACGAAAGCGUGGGGAUCGAACAGGAUUAGAUACCCUGGUAGUC
Molecule: ribosomal RNA, 440 nt
Filed under: uncultured bacterium
Lineage: Bacteria
Description: partial 16S ribosomal RNA
Rfam family: Bacterial small subunit ribosomal RNA
Source: RNAcentral